GAUGAACGCUGGCGGCGUGCCUAAUACAUGCAAGUCGAGCGAACGGACGAGAAGCUUGCUUCUCUGAUGUUAGCGGCGGACGGGUGAGUAACACGUGGAUAACCUACCUAUAAGACUGGGAUAAUUUCGGGAAACCGGAGCUAAUACCGGAUAAUAUUUUGAACCGCAUGGUUCAAAAGUGAAAGACGGUCUUGCUGUCACUUAUAGAUGGAUCCGCGCUGCAUUAGCUAGUUGGUAAGGUAACGGCUUACCAAGGCAACGAUGCAUAGCCGACCUGAGAGGGUGAUUGGCCACACUGGAACUGAGACACGGUCCAGACUCCUACGGGAGGCAGCAGUAGGGAAUCUUCCGCAAUGGGCGAAAGCCUGACGGAGCAACGCCGCGUGAGUGAUGAAGGUCUUCGGAUCGUAAAACUCUGUUAUUAGGGAAGAACAUAUGUGUAAGUAACUGUGCACAUCUUGACGGUACCUAAUCAGAAAGCCACGGCUAACUACGUG
Molecule: ribosomal RNA, 497 nt
Filed under: uncultured bacterium
Lineage: Bacteria
Description: partial 16S ribosomal RNA
Rfam family: Bacterial small subunit ribosomal RNA
Source: RNAcentral